GGUCCAGCCUGCCCAGUGAUUACUUAAACGGCCGCGGUACCCUAACCGUGCAAAGGUAGCACAAUUACUUGUCCUUUAAAUGAAGACUAGAAUGAAUGACACCACGAGAGUUGUACUGUCUCCUUACCCCAAUCAGUGAAACUGACCUCCCCGUGAAAAGGCGGGAAUUAAAAUACUAGACGAGAAGACCCCAUGGAGCUUUAGACAUCGAACAAAUUCAAGCCUUCAUCUAUUAGCCCAAAAUUUAUGUUUCUAAGUCUUUGGUUGGGGCGACCAUGGAGUAAAAACUAACCUCCACACCGAAUGGAUACCUCCUUAUCUAAGAGAAACACCUCUAAGAAACAGAACACUGACGUACACUGAUCCGGAAUCCGAUCAAUGAACCAAGUUACCCUGGGGAUAACAGCGCCAUCUACCUAAAGAGUCCAUAUCGACAGGUAGGUUUACGACCUCGAUGUUGGAUCAGGGUAUCCUAGUGGUGCAGCCGCUACAUAAGGUUCGUUUGUUCAACGAUUAAAACCCU
RNAcentral lists this ribosomal RNA (523 nucleotides) under Cornufer guentheri (Gunther's triangle frog). RNAcentral describes it as "partial 16S ribosomal RNA". It matches the Rfam family "Bacterial large subunit ribosomal RNA", at positions 1851 to 2597 of the family's 2925-position model. The record is from RNAcentral. Lineage: Eukaryota; Metazoa; Chordata; Amphibia; Anura; Ceratobatrachidae.